CCUCUUCCUGUGUCAUUUCUAGAAGCAGAAGUUUCUGAGAUGUGAAGAUUAGAUGUGUAUGGAAAGAAUAGACCCAGCAGGGCCUCAGUCAUGCCUGCCUCUCCACACUGCUGGGAGUCUGAUUUCAGCUUGUCCAGAUCUGUGCAGAUUUUUCCUGUGAUGGCCACGGUCAGAUUCCUACAUGAAAAUCAGUUCUCUCACCAAAUGUAGAGUCUUUUCAGGCUGACUGGAGAAGCACAUCUCCUCAAAGAACAGAUGACAGUAUAUUUUUUAUCACUUAUUUCUGAAACAGUGUAAUAGAAAAAUCUUCCAAAUA
This is a long non-coding RNA of Pseudopipra pipra, 316 nucleotides long. RefSeq lists it as uncharacterized. The record is from RefSeq and is a predicted model, not a curated record. Lineage: Eukaryota; Metazoa; Chordata; Aves; Passeriformes; Pipridae. The transcript has 2 exons.